UGGGGAAUAUUGCACAAUGGGCGCAAGCCUGAUGCAGCCAUGCCGCGUGUGUGAAGAAGGCCUUCGGGUUGUAAAGCACUUUCAGCGAGGAGGAAGGUGGUGAACUUAAUACGUUCAUCAAUUGACGUUACUCGCAGAAGAAGCACCGGCUAACUCCGUGCCAGCAGCCGCGGUAAUACGGAGGGUGCAAAGCGUUAAUCGGAAUUACUGGGCGUAAAGCGCACGCAGGCGGUUUGUUAAGUCAGAUGUGAAAUCCCCCGGGCUCAACCUGGGAACUGCAUUUGAAACUGGCAAGCUAGGAGUCUCGUAGAGGGGGGUAGAAAUUCCAGGUGUAGCGGUGAAAUGCGUAGAGAUCUGGAGGAAUACCGGUGGCGAAGGCGGCCCCCUGGACGAAGACUGACGCUCAGGUGCGAAAAGCGUGGGGAGCAAAACAGGAUUAGAUAACCCUGGUAGUCCACGCUGUAAAACGAUGUCGAUUUUGGAGGUUGUGCCCUUGAGGCGUGGCUUCCGGAGCUAACGCGUUAAAAUCGACCGCCUGGGGAGUACGGCCG
This 551-nucleotide ribosomal RNA is filed under the name uncultured bacterium. Its description in RNAcentral is "partial 16S ribosomal RNA". It matches the Rfam family "Bacterial small subunit ribosomal RNA", at positions 355 to 888 of the family's 1533-position model. The record is from RNAcentral.